Molecule: long non-coding RNA, 416 nt
Filed under: Rhipicephalus microplus (southern cattle tick)
Lineage: Eukaryota; Metazoa; Arthropoda; Arachnida; Ixodida; Ixodidae
Description: uncharacterized LOC119176388, transcript variant X1
Source: RNAcentral
GUGAGGCGUGGCGAGAAUAAGCAGAUUUAUCUACAUUGAGGUACGCGGACUAGCUUAAUUUGCGCCAGGCUCCAACAGUGGCGACCGCAAUGACGACUCCGCUUCACGCAACUUCGCUCAUUUGAAAAACUGAAGCUUAUUGCGGAAGCCACAAACCACCCAAAAAAUUUGGUGCAGUGGGCCAUCUACGAUACUUCUUUCUGCAGAGCAUUCCUGAAAAACGCCAGCAUAGCCAAACAGCGAUUCGAAAGAGCUGCAAGACAGUGGAAUCCCAUAAACCACGCCAGUAGUGCAAGGAGCAUAUCUGUGGACAUGACUGGAGACACGUUUGUUUCCUUUCCCUGGCUGCUGACACAAUGCUCUAUCCACCAAAGUACACACAUUAUGCACUUUAUUACGUGCUGAGAAUGACAUGU